RNAcentral lists this ribosomal RNA (484 nucleotides) under uncultured bacterium. Its description in RNAcentral is "partial 16S ribosomal RNA". It matches the Rfam family "Bacterial small subunit ribosomal RNA", at positions 30 to 507 of the family's 1533-position model. The record is from RNAcentral.
AUUGAACGCUGGCGGAAUGCUUUACACAUGCAAGUCGAGCGGCAGCGCGGCCUUCGGGCUGGCGGCGAGCGGCGAACGGGUGAGUAAUGCAUCGGAACAUGCCCAGUCGUGGGGGAUAACACUUCGAAAGAAGUGCUAAUACCGCAUACGUCCUGAGGGGGAAAGCGGGGGAUCGCAAGACCUCGCGCGAUUGGAGUGGCCGAUGUCAGAUUAGCUAGUUGGUGGGGUAAAGGCCUACCAAGGCGACGAUCUGUAGCUGGUCUGAGAGGAUGAUCAGCCACACUGGAACUGAGACACGGCCCAGACUCCUACGGGAGGCAGCAGUGGGGAAUUUUGGACAAUGGGGGCAACCCUGAUCCAGACAUUCCGCGUGAGUGAAGAAGGCCUUCGGGUUGUAAAGCUCUUUCGGCAGGAACGAAACGGUGGGCUCUAACAUAGUCCGCUAAUGACGGUACCUGAAGAAGAAGCACCGGCUAACUACGUG